This is a long non-coding RNA of Rosa chinensis, 400 nucleotides long. RefSeq lists it as uncharacterized. The record is from RefSeq and is a predicted model, not a curated record. Lineage: Eukaryota; Viridiplantae; Streptophyta; Magnoliopsida; Rosales; Rosaceae. The transcript has 2 exons.
AAAUCUAGUAGCUAUUAUUGAAUAGGGUACAGGAUUCAAAUGAAACAGAUGUAUUGAUUUGGUUGGUUUAGCAUGAAGCUCAAGUUGGUUGGAGGUGACUCUACUGGCGUUGUGACAGCUUACUAUAAAGAGUGAUCCCAGGAAUUGAGCUGGUGCGGUUAGCGUCAUGGUGUUUGCAGUAUGAACCUCAUGAGAGGCCAAAUGCCAAGUCUCUUGUGACUGCCCUUGUUCUUCUUCAAAAGGAAACUUCGUUGAAGCGAAAAGAUAUUAUAUCAGCUUUUGUUUCAUGUAUAGGUAGCUAGGAAUGAUUUCUUGUUUGGUACAUUAUCUAUCUUGAAUGUAUGGAUGUUUGAAAAAUGGUGAUUGAAUGAUAUGGAUUAGAGUACUGUUUAUGUUUUAA